RNAcentral lists this small RNA (143 nucleotides) under Pongo abelii (Sumatran orangutan). RNAcentral's name for it is "processed transcript". The record is from RNAcentral. Lineage: Eukaryota; Metazoa; Chordata; Mammalia; Primates; Hominidae.
GAAAAGAAGAAGAAAUGGCAGUAAAGAGGGCAACCAUCAUUCCACCCAGCCCAAAAGGAAUAAGAGAAACCCUAUCUUUCAGGAUUCUCAAGAUACAGAGUUUUCAUGGAGUGAUAAUGAAAGGAGCAGCAGCCGCAUUAAUA